RNAcentral lists this ribosomal RNA (411 nucleotides) under uncultured eukaryote. RNAcentral describes it as "eukaryotic LSU rRNA". It matches the Rfam family "Eukaryotic large subunit ribosomal RNA", at positions 15 to 423 of the family's 3401-position model. The record is from RNAcentral.
AGCAAGAUUACCCGCUGAACUUAAGCAUAUCAGUAAGCGGAGGAAAAGAAAAUAACAAUGAUUACCUCAGUAGCGGCGAGUGAAGAGGUAAAGCCCAAGAUGUUAAUCCACAGCACAACUGCGGAAUUGUAAUCUAUAGUGUUUCUCAGAAGGUCGAGACUCGUCAUAAGUUCUUUGGAACAAGACACCAUAGAGGGUGAAAGUCCCGUCUUUGGAUGAGUCGAGAUGAUAUGAGAGAUUUCUAAGAGUCGUGUAGUUUUGGGAAUGCUGCACUAAGUGGGGAGGAUAAAACUUCUCCUAAGGCUAAAUAUAAGAUAGGAGACCGAUAGCAUACAAGUACUGCGAAGGAAAGGUGAAAAGAACUUUGAAAAGAGGGUCAAAAGUGCUUGAAAUUGUUAAGAGGGAAGCGAU